Molecule: long non-coding RNA, 323 nt
Filed under: Androctonus crassicauda
Lineage: Eukaryota; Metazoa; Arthropoda; Arachnida; Scorpiones; Buthidae
Source: RNAcentral
ACAGAAGAGAAAUCAAGAUAAAAGAAACUUAGGAAAUAUAGAAGUUAGUAAGUGAAUUUUUGAUCUGUUAAGCUUAAUGGUAAUGACAAAAAGAAUGGCGGGUAUUAACAAAGAAAGUUUCGCUGGAGCGGACAGAAUCACUAAAUUAAAUAGUAAUAAUUAUGUUUUGUGGUCAAUCAAGAUGAAGACAUUAUUAACUGGUAAACAAGUUUUUGAUGAUGUGAUUAAUAAAGACGAACCUGUGAAAGAUGAGAAUAAUGAAAGUCAACUGUUAAUAUGGCAAGAAUGGAAAAGAAAGAACGAUAUAGCAUAUGGGUACUUAA